UAGCUCAGCGGGUUAGAGUGUAGUGCUGGUAACGCCACGGUCGUGGGUUUGAUUCCCGC
Molecule: non-coding RNA, 59 nt
Organism: Salmo salar (Atlantic salmon)
Lineage: Eukaryota; Metazoa; Chordata; Actinopteri; Salmoniformes; Salmonidae
Source: Rfam